UUGAAAUCAUUAGAGAUAUUGCAAAGGAACUCACACUACUAGAAAAAAUGGAUUCAAGGACACACACUUUAUAUGGAGUCCUUGAAGGUUUUUAAGGACACAUAAUGUUAAAUUGAAAAUUUUUAAGGGUAGAGAGUCUUUCAAGGACACCCAUAAACUGUAUGCCGUGUCCUAAUAUUGGGCUCCAACUGAAAAAUUUAAAUCCUAUUGAAAUACAAAAACGCGCGGUGCUGCAGCUAUACUUAGCUUUUUCGAUUCCCACCCGCAAUUUCACUUCCCUCCUCCCCCAAUUUUUGAUUUCCCUCUUCAAUUGAAACCUUUCCUAAAUAGAGAAAAAUGACUCAUUCACUCUAUUUCCAGUUCUUAGUUGUAAUAGGAAAAAAAAAACUCGAGCCGAGAACAGAUUCGAUCUGGUUCGACUCGGCGGUGACUCGUAACAGACAGUUCAAGUCAUACUGAGGUUGCUUGGUGUGAGACAUACUUUGGGUUGACAGAAUCUGGGAAGAGUUUCAGUACAAGGUGUGAAUUUUAAUCCCAGCAGCAAGGAGUAUACGCACGGAGUAGCAAUAAGAUUUCGGUCAUGUGAGCAGGUUGAGGGGAAAGACACUUACACUCAAGAAGAGAUUGAGUGUAAAGACCACCGCCUCUCUCCACAACUCAAGAUCUCACUCAAUGAUAUGAGGGAAUGUCGGCACGAGAGAGAAUCAGCAGAAGAAACCAAUGUACGAAGGUGGAGAAGGAUACGAGGUCAAUGUAUUUGUUUAUAUGUUGUGAAAUAAAGUACUGUCACUCUGUCAGUAUGAACAUAGUGUUUUAUUUGAUUUGUUUGUGUCGUUUGAUCGAUCUGUUUCGAUAUGGCUGUCAAUGAAGCUCUUUUGCAAAAGCUGGCCAAAAUCUGAUUUGCAAACAUUAUUCUCCCUCUUCUAGACCCUGCAGACUGCUUACUGAUGCUUGGAGUCGAACGAAUUGAGAGGUUAUUACCGACUGGUAUUUCUUUGAGUGGUUUUGGGGAGGUGCAGAGAGGGAAACUCUAUGUUGGAUAUUAUGUGGCUAUGACGUUUUCAGCUUCACUUGAUGAGCAUCAACAAAUUCAAGCAAACUGAGGUAAUGGAGCUGAUCUAACAUGGUCUGAAGUUAACAAUAUGCCUUAGACCACCAAGGUAAACAAUGCAUGUACUCAAAUCUUAUAGCUUUGUCAAAUAACUUUUCAGUUGAACUAAUUUACAUUAUUGAUCAAAAUCUCUGUAAUCAAUGAAACUCUCUGAAGGGCGACUAUUUUACCUUGGUUUUCAAGAAGGCUUCCCAGAGUUUUGAGAUUGCUGGUACAACAUUUUGUCUCCCACACCACAUAACAAAAGCCAAUGUUUACUGCACCAGUUUGACCAUGUAAUUCUAAGACAUUUUUUCACUAUUGUAGGAUAUAAUAUAGAGUAAGGUUGGUCUGUUAACUUGGAUGUUGUUUUUAUUCAUCAUGAUCCAGAAGACUUUCCUGAUCCUCAAAAGUUUGAUCCUUCCAGGUUUGAUGUAUUAGCUUUUUUACAGAGCAUUUAGGAAGGUCCUUGGAGGUAUGUGAGUGCUAUGAUUUUAAUAUUAAAAACUCAGAAGCUUCUUCUUCUUCUUGGCCUUCUGGGGUCUGGAACAAGCACUUUCUUCAAGCAGGCCACAGAUUGCUGUUAUCAUUUUCGAAUGGAUUCCAGAAAAACCACUUGCUUAUCGGAAUCAACUAUCUAAGUUGGUUUCAGCUGUAAUCAUUUCAGUUUGAGGGGAAAGACACUUACACCCAAGAAGAGAUUGAUGUACUUCGAGUAGAGUGGGUAGAGUAGGUUGAUGGGUAUAUCCAAGUUGCAUGAAGUAAAAUAGUUAGCAUUCUGGUAUGAAGUUAUAUAUGUACGCAACAUUCAGCUUUGAAUUAAAUUGGUCGAAACAAUGGUAGUACUACAUUCUAGAUCUUGGACUUGUGGUGUUUGUAGGUUAAUUACUUGUUUUGGAUCCUAGACAUGUAUUAAUGGAUGGUCUCUAAAUAUAUAAGGAUUGCUUGUUGGCAAUUUUGAUAAUGUAUUUUCAAAUGGAUUUAAUGAUUCCAUUUCCAGAACUUUAAGGACAUGAUAUAUGUGUUCUAGUAUGGAAAACAGGACACCUAUGGAAAUGUAUAUUUGUGUCCUCAUAUGAAUGUAAGGACUCUGUUUUCAGAUAUUUGAGGACACAAUUUGCGUGUCAUUGUAUAAAAAAGAGGACACAUUUCAGAGUGUACUUUUUGUGUCCUCUUAAAGAUUUAAGGACUCUAUUUCGAGAGCUUUUAGGACACAAUUUAUGUGUUCUUGUAUGAAAUAGAGGACACAUUUGAUAGUGUGCUUUUUGUGUCCUCUCAUAGAUUUAAGGACACAAUUCAUGUGUCUUUACAUAGAAAAGAGGACACAUAUUAGGUAAUAUAAGGAUGCAACUUAGGUGUCCUCUUAUACAUAUAAGGACACCACAUCCAAAGCUAUUAGGACACAUAAACCGUGUCCUCGUAUAGAUAAGAGGACACAUUUUCUGUGUCCUUGUUUGGGACUUACGAUGACUCCCGG
Rosa rugosa (rugosa rose) is the source of this 2567-nucleotide long non-coding RNA. RefSeq lists it as uncharacterized. The transcript has 8 exons. The record is from RefSeq and is a predicted model, not a curated record. Lineage: Eukaryota; Viridiplantae; Streptophyta; Magnoliopsida; Rosales; Rosaceae.